RNAcentral lists this ribosomal RNA (460 nucleotides) under uncultured bacterium. RNAcentral's name for it is "partial 16S ribosomal RNA". It matches the Rfam family "Bacterial small subunit ribosomal RNA", at positions 338 to 795 of the family's 1533-position model. The record is from RNAcentral.
CCUACGGGUGGCAGCAGUGAGGAAUAUUGGUCAAUGGGCGGAAGCCUGAUCCAGCCAAGUCGCGUGAGGGACUAAGGCCCUACGGGUCGUAAACCUCUUUUGCCGGGGAUCAGUGCCCAGCUCGCGAGCUGGGAGGGAGCGUACCCGCAGAAAAAGCAUCGGCUAACUCCGUGCCAGCAGCCGCGUUAAUACGGGGGAUGCGAGCGUUAUCCGGAUUGUUUGGGUUUAACGGGUGCGUAGGCGGGCCUUAAGCCCGGCGGUAAAAUUGCGGGGCGCCACCCCGCCGAGCCGUCGGAACCGGGGGCCUUGAGUACCGGAGAGGUACGCGGAAUGCGUGGUGUAGCGGUGAAAUGCAUAGAUAUCACGCAGAACCCCGAUGGCGAAGGCAGCGUACCGGCCGGUCACUGACGCUGAGGCACGAAAGCGAGGGUAUCGAACAGGAUUAGAUACCCCUGUAGUC